Molecule: ribosomal RNA, 406 nt
Filed under: uncultured bacterium
Lineage: Bacteria
Description: partial 16S ribosomal RNA
Rfam family: Bacterial small subunit ribosomal RNA
Source: RNAcentral
GACGAACGCUGGCGGCAUGCCUAAUACAUGCAAGUAGAACGCAGUUGCGAACGGGUGAGUAACGCGUAGGUAAAUGCCUCAUAGCGGGGGGUAAAUAUUGGGAACGAUAGCUAAAACCGCCUACUGUGAGAUGGACCUGCUUUGUAUUAGCUAGUUGGUGAGGUAAAGGCUCACCAAGGCGACGAUCCAGAGCCGACCUAGGAGGGUGACCGGCCACAUGGGAACUGAGACAGGGCCAAAACUCUUAGGGAGGCAGCAGGAGGGGAUUUUCGGAAAUGGAGGGAAGUCUGACCGCGCAACUCCGCGGGAGUGAAGAAGGUCCUCGGAGUGGAAAGCUACUUUGUUAGAGGAGCGGUACCUAAACAGAAAGGGACGGCUAACUACGUGCCAGCAGCCGCGGUAAUAC